Molecule: ribosomal RNA, 450 nt
Filed under: uncultured bacterium
Lineage: Bacteria
Description: bacterial SSU rRNA
Rfam family: Bacterial small subunit ribosomal RNA
Source: RNAcentral
UGGGGAAUCUUGCGCAAUGGACGAAAGUCUGACGCAGCCACGCCGCGUGAGUGAAGAAGGCCUUCGGGUUGUAAAGCUCUGUCGGGCGGGACGAAAAGCCUGGGCGUGAAUAGCUCCCAGAACUGACGGUACCGCCAAAGGAAGCACCGGCUAACUUCGUGCCAGCAGCCGCGGUAAUACGAGGGGUGCAAGCGUUGCUCGGAAUUAUUGGGCGUAAAGGGUAGGUAGGUGGUCUCAUUUGUCCGGGGUGAAAGCCUUGAGCUUAACUCAAGAAGUGCCCCAGAAACGGUGAGACUAGAGUCUUGGAGAGGGUCGUGGAAUUCCCGGUGUAGCGGUGAAAUGCGUAGAGAUCGGGAGGAACACCAGAGGCGAAGGCGGCGACCUGGACAAGUACUGACACUCAACUACGAAAGCGUGGGGAGCAAACAGGAUUAGAUACCCCGGUAGUCC